Molecule: ribosomal RNA, 490 nt
Filed under: uncultured bacterium
Lineage: Bacteria
Description: partial 16S ribosomal RNA
Rfam family: Bacterial small subunit ribosomal RNA
Source: RNAcentral
AUUGAACGCUGGCGGCAGGCCUAACACAUGCAAGUCGAACGGUAACAGGAAGAAGCUUGCUUCUUUGCUGACGAGUGGCGGACGGGUGAGUAAUGUCUGGGAAACUGCCUGAUGGAGGGGGCUAACUACUGGAAACGGUAGCUAAUACCGCAUAACGUCGCAAGACCAAAGAGGGGGACCUUCGGGCCUCUUGCCAUCGGAUGUGCCCAGGUGGGAUUAGCUAGUAGGUGGGGUAACGGCUCACCUAGGCGACGAUCCCUAGCUGGUCUGAGAGGAUGACCAGCCACACUGGAACUGAGACACGGUCCAGACUCCUACGGGAGGCAGCAGGGGGGAAUAUUGUACAAUGGGCGCAAGCCUGAUGCAGCCAUGCCGCGUGUAUGAAGAAGGCCUUCGGGUUGUAAAGUACUUGCAGAGGGGAGGAAGGGAGUAAAGUUAAUACCUUGACUCAUUGACGUUACCCGCAGAAGAAGCACCGGCUAACUCCGUG